RNAcentral lists this ribosomal RNA (253 nucleotides) under uncultured bacterium. RNAcentral's name for it is "partial 16S ribosomal RNA". It matches the Rfam family "Bacterial small subunit ribosomal RNA", at positions 524 to 776 of the family's 1533-position model. The record is from RNAcentral.
UACGGAGGGUGCGAGCGUUGUCCGGAAUCACUGGGCGUAAAGCGCGCGUAGGCGGUUUGUUAAGUGGGAUGUGAAAGCCCCGGGCUUAACCUGGGAAUUGCAUUUCAAACUGGCGAACUAGAGUGCGGUAGAGGGAGGUAGAAUUUCCUGUGUAGCGGUGAAAUGCGUAGAUAUAGGAAGGAAUACCAGUGGCGAAGGCGGCCUCCUGGAUCGACACUGACGCUAAGGCGCGAAAGCGUGGGGAGCAAACAGG